AGUGAACGCUGGCGGUAGGCCUAACACAUGCAAGUCGAACGGCAGCACAGUAAGAGCUUGCUCUUACGGGUGGCGAGUGGCGGACGGGUGAGGAAUACAUCGGCAUCUACUUUUUCGUGGGGGAUAACGUAGGGAAACUUACGCUAAUACCGCAUACGACCUACGGGUGAAAGCAGGGGAUCUUCGGACCUUGCGCGAUUGAAUGAGCCGAUGUCGGAUUAGCUAGUUGGCGGGGUAAAGGCCCACCAAGGCGACGAUCCGUAGCUGGUCUGAGAGGAUGAUCAGCCACACUGGAACUGAGACACGGUCCAGACUCCUACGGGAGGCAGCAGUGGGGAAUAUUGGACAAUGGGCGCAAGCCUGACGGAGCAAUACCGCGUGGGUGAAGAAGGCCUUCGGGUUGUAAAGCCCUUUUGUUGGGAAAGAAAAGAAGCAGGUGAAUACCCCGCUGUUCUGACGGUACCUAAAGAAUAAGCACCGGCUAACUUCGUG
Molecule: ribosomal RNA, 492 nt
Filed under: uncultured bacterium
Lineage: Bacteria
Description: partial 16S ribosomal RNA
Rfam family: Bacterial small subunit ribosomal RNA
Source: RNAcentral